GCGUUCAUAGCUCAGUUGGUUAGAGCACCACCUUGACAUGGVVVUGGUUAGAGCACCACCUUGACAUGGUGGGGGUCGAUGGUUCGAGUCCAUUCAGACGCACCA
This 105-nucleotide transfer RNA is filed under the name Salmonella enterica subsp. enterica serovar Paratyphi A. RNAcentral describes it as "tRNA-Val". Lineage: Bacteria; Pseudomonadati; Pseudomonadota; Gammaproteobacteria; Enterobacterales; Enterobacteriaceae. The record is from RNAcentral.